AUUGAACGCUGGCGGCAUGCCUUACACAUGCAAGUCGAACGGCAGCACGGGUGCUUGCACCUGGUGGCGAGUGGCGCACGGGUGAGUAAUACAUCGGAACAUGUCCUGUAGUGGGGGAUAGCCCGGCGAAAGCCGGAUUAAUACCGCAUACGAUCCACGGAUGAAAGCGGGGGACCUUCGGGCCUCGCGCUAUAGGGUUGGCCGAUGGCUGAUUAGCUAGUUGGUGGGGUAAAGGCCUACCAAGGCGACGAUCAGUAGCUGGUCUGAGAGGACGACCAGCCACACUGGGACUGAGACACGGCCCAGACUCCUACGGGAGGCAGCAGUGGGGAAUUUUGGACAAUGGGCGAAAGCCUGAUCCAGCAAUGCCGCGUGUGUGAAGAAGGCCUUCGGGUUGUAAAGCACUUUUGUCCGGAAAGAAAUCCUUGGCUCUAAUACAGUCGGGGGAUGACGGUACCGGAAGAAUAAGCACCGGCUAACUACGU
RNAcentral lists this ribosomal RNA (485 nucleotides) under uncultured bacterium. RNAcentral's name for it is "partial 16S ribosomal RNA". It matches the Rfam family "Bacterial small subunit ribosomal RNA", at positions 30 to 506 of the family's 1533-position model. The record is from RNAcentral.